ACGUCCACACCUUACCUCCCCAGGUCCCCCCCCUGGCCUCUACCCUGGACUUCAUCUGGGCAUCAUGUCAGUUGGAAGUUGCGGCUCUGUACUGGCCGGUGGAGUGCCGUCACGAGGGCCUUAUUGAGCAUCAGGCACUACCCAACCAGCACUACCCUUCAGUGAGUGAGUUCAGCUGUCCGCAGAGCUGGCGGGUCUGGUCUGGUCUGGUCUGGUGCCGUGCGACUGGAGGGACGUGGAGUGGAGAGGAGGUUGGGGUGGCGGGACGCCCGAGGAAGGAGGCGAGGGAGAAGCGGUGGCGAGGUGUGACGGCCUUCCGCCGCCUUCGUCCACAUCGCUCGGGAGGAUAAGGAGAAGGCAAAUUUUGACUUAGUCAAGGACGGGACUUCAACCCCUGGCCUGGACGGCCCCGGACGGUGCUGCUGAGACCCCUACGGAGAAAUCACAUAUGUGCGAGAACGAGGUCUAAUUCCUUAAUCCAGUCCUCACGCUUUACCCCCUUUCGCAUUAUCUCUAUACUUCUUCUCCUACAGUGUUGGUCUUGUCUUGGAGUAUCCGUCCAUGGUUUUUUCUUUUCGUCAAUCGUCUGUGCUUCAUCGUACCUACCCCCUUCGGCCCCGUCCUGCACACACGCCCUCUCUCCCCCCCCGUCGCCCACUAGGACCAUUUGCCGAUUGGUGCCGUGCUACGGCUGAAGCAUUUCUACGUGCCAUCGUAUGGCGACGUGCACCCGCUGCUGCCGCCGCCGUCAGGGGCCCAGCCCGAUGCGACUCAGGAAUACAGCAGCGGCCCAGAGAGUGACGUGUCUGAGCUGGGGCUGCGGCUGGGGCUGCGGCUGGCGGGACAUGGGGCAGCAGGGUCCGAUCUCACGGCGCCGGGGCAAUCCAACCAAAACCGCCCCGGACCUGCGCGCCUGAGCAAAGCCACCUAGGACCCGGAGGGCGAGGAGGAUCACCGCGAGGGAUUCAUGAGCCGCGGCACGGUCCAGCACAUUCACACAUAUGCAGACCACUGCAUGUCGCCAAUAUGACAUCAUCUCGUUCCACACAUGAGAUGAGGCGCGCUUCCAGGUAGCUUAAUUUUUCCUUGUUCGGUCCUUUUGGUGGUCCUUGCCCUUUUGGUGGUUCUUGGGGUACCUGAACGCGUGCAGGGGGGGGAGGUGCAGAGGGAGGAAGGAAGGGUGGUUAAGGUUAAGAAGAGGAAGGGUUUUCAAGGGGAAGGGAGGUGGGGGGGGUCUGGGGGGAGAAGAAGGUUAUGGCCGGCUCAGACAAGACGAGACUAGGGAAAGGAGGGUAGGGGCAUUGGUAGUUCGUGGUAAAAGUGUUCAGGUGAAGGAUGGUGGAUACGGCGCGAGCGAGGCGCUGCAGCGUGGCUCCUGCAAUCAGUAAGAAUUUGGAGGUGCAUGAGGGCUGCCACAGGUGUGUGAAGAAAGCCGGCGAAUCGAACAUUGGUCCAGACGUGUGAGCUGCUGAGCUGGUGAGGUCUGUUGGGAAGAGAGAAGAGCGUUAGAAGGCAGAGCAGGUGGCGAGGGUGGUUUUGAGCGUCCGGCAUCAGGGAUAAGGAACGACAUUGUAGUGUGGUAUGGUGUGUGCGAGUGUCAUUAGCGCGGGAGGCUGGGGGGAAUGAGCAGGGGGUGAAGGACAGGGAUGUUUCCAAUUUAUAUCUUUUUGGUUAUCCGUUUCCCUGAGUGUGACGCCAAACUGAGCUCAAAGCAGGUGAGAUCGGCCUUGGUUAGGCGUUCGGCAGGUGAGAUCGGCCUUGGUUAGGCGUUCGGUGUGGAUUUCGACAUCAAGGUCCCUUCACUUUGACACGAUUAAGCACGGUUAACUGGUUCUUCAGGGUCUAGCAGGAGCACAAAAUCCUCCAUGUGUCCCAGCCCGUUAUAUUUUACACAUUCCAAAGUUGCCGGGAACCUCGCGGACCUCGGGAACCUCGAAAAACUCGAAAACCUCGGGAACCUCGAAAACCUCGGGAACCUCGAAAACCUCGGGAACCUCGCGGACCUCGAAAACCUCGGAACCCUCGCGGACCUCGGGAACCUCGGAAACCUCGAGAACCUUG
This 2061-nucleotide long non-coding RNA is filed under the name Volvox carteri. RNAcentral describes it as "long non-coding RNA (VCAR_LNC002103)". Lineage: Eukaryota; Viridiplantae; Chlorophyta; Chlorophyceae; Chlamydomonadales; Volvocaceae. The record is from RNAcentral.